Molecule: ribosomal RNA, 255 nt
Filed under: uncultured bacterium
Lineage: Bacteria
Description: partial 16S ribosomal RNA
Rfam family: Bacterial small subunit ribosomal RNA
Source: RNAcentral
CGGACGGGUGAGUAACGCGUGGAAAACCUGCCGUAUACUGGGGGAUAACACUUAGAAAUAGGUGCUAAUACCGCAUAAGCGCACAGCUUCGCAUGAAGCGGUGUGAAAAACUCUGGUGGUAUACGAUGGUUCCGCGUCUGAUUAGCUAGUUGGUGGGGUAAUGGCCUACCAAGGCAACGAUCAGUAGCCGGCCUGAGAGGGUGAACGGCCACAUUGGGACUGAGAUACGGCUCAAACUCCUACGGGAGGCAGCAG